RNA transcript from Syzygium oleosum, 1727 nucleotides. RefSeq lists it as uncharacterized. The record is from RefSeq and is a predicted model, not a curated record. The transcript has 11 exons. NCBI's taxonomy places the organism in Eukaryota, Viridiplantae, Streptophyta, Magnoliopsida, Myrtales, Myrtaceae.
CUUUCUCUCUCGCGCGGAACAGAGUCGCAUCGUUGCUUGGCGCUGCUGUUCGGGAGAGAUGGGAAUCGAAGCUCUUGCUCGGCACACGCUGAAGCGUCGCAUGCAACGCAUUUAGCUCUCGAAUUCGUCCACGAUCGAGCUCGUUUCGACGUCGCAUCGUGCGGUGAAAUUAGCUGGCCAUCGAUAGGCCUCUCUCGCGAGCAUGAUGUCGCCGAAGCAAGCCUCCGAGGACCGAGGAUCGACCCAGUUCAGGCACACGCCCUUGCAGAUAAUUCAUAUAUUGGGCAACUUUUUGAGAAUAUGGUCGGUCUACUCAAUGUACCGUUACUUGACCGAGACGGGAGCAUCGGUUCUGCUCUUUAUCUUCUGUUGUCUGGUCCCUGCAACAAUCCUGUUUUUGUUCCUGCAGAAGCCUUGGAAGGGUAGACCGCUCUCUAAUACUCAGGUCGUUCCUUCAGUGAUAAAUGGCGCCAUAACAGCUCUCUACUUCGUUUUGUGGGGCAAGGGCUUGAAGCUAUGUGGACCACUUAGAGCUUUAAUGGCGGAGUAUUCUGGUGCUGUUCUUGGGGUCUUAUCUGCUGUACUCUAUGGACAAAGACAGCAUCUAUGGAAAAAGGUUGGCGGGUUGGUGGCAAUGGUGGCAUCUUUCUACCUGUUGUCGCAAGGAUGGGCUAUGGCCUCAUAUUUUCCAAUAAAGUUUGGAGAAAGCCCUGAUACUGGCGUUCAGACAGAACACAAUCUGGGUAUGAAAGAAAUGAUACUUCCAAUCUUUGCGGGAAUCCUGUCAGCAUUAAGGAGAGUGAUUGCACGACGUGUCUCACUCAAGAAUCAAUAUAAAAGAAGACUUCAUGCGAUAACAGUUGCUUCUGCGACAUGCUUUCUGUUUCCUGUGGCGAUGUGGGAUAUGAUCAUAGGAUCAGAGUCUGCUGGUAGCAAGGAUUUACCAUUUUCAACAUGGGCUUUUAUGAGCACCAUUGCUUUUGGGAUUAUCUUGAUAUUUUACAUUGACAAUAUUGCGGAGGAGAGAUUGCACAUGGUUUUUUCUUCUCCGCGUCAUCUGAUGGUAGCUGGUGGAUGUAUCAUAAUCAUGGAGAUUGUUUACCAAAUGGACUUUUCUCUUCUGGGAUUUCUAAUGUGUGCCUUAAUACUAGGCUUUGGGAUACAUGCAGCAACUUCUUUACAGCGUCCUAGAGGAGAUUCUCUCCAAAAAUCAGGCCUUUCUGAUGGCAUUUUUGGUGACGAAGUACAGAUGUCGCCACUUCCAACUUGAGAGUUCUUUAUGAGGUUUGAAUGAAUGUUGGAUGAACCCAUAGUUGCUCACAUAACUUUGUCUUAUUGAUUCUUGUAUUCUGAUGUAAGUUGGGACUCUAUCAACAGUUGAUGUGACAUCCGCAAUGCCUCCUCUGCGAGCAUAAUUGAGUGCCAUUCUCGAGUUUUUUCCCAUCUAGCCUGUAAUUCUUUUGGAAGAUAAAAGCUGCUAACUUCUCACAUCAGUUGCCAUGGUUGUUCCGUGAUAUGACCUUGCGAGGCAAAGAUGAAUAAGUUGUCUUCUUUACCCGGUAAUGAGAAGAAAAUUCCUGGCAUAUUGCUCUGACCUAGACUUCAUCUUAACAGGAGCCUAUUUUGUAUUGCCGCUUUGCAUCACAUGUGGUAGCCUAACUUUUAGUUUCUGAAACACAACACCUGUAUAGAUUUACAUCAAAAGGAGUUACUUUGUAGUUUGCGCC